UCUACAUUUAGUACUCCAUGCAUGUACCGCAAAUUUGAUGUGAUGAAGAAUCUUCUUUCUGCAUAGUGCUAAAGUUAGGAAAAAGAGGGGAACUAAACAAGGCCUGUGUAACUCGCAGGUAGUACCCAGAAAUCUCUGCUUUUGGGGGUCUGCAAAUAUCUGCUGCUGAACCAUGAAAAUGAGCAAAUUAGAGACCAACUGUUGUCAGACGAAAUAGCAGAAGGUAGAAUUACGAGAAGCCACUGCGAAUGCUCAGAUUUAAAAUGUACAUCAACUAUAUUAGUUUUCAAAUAGAAUCAUGACACCAAAAAGGGAACAUGAAAUGUAUGCCCUUAUGGGCAAACAAUGAUUCCAAAAUGCUGAUAAUGGGGCAACAGUGUUCAAAGAGCAGAUCAUAUAAGCUACUAAUAAAAAACAAGCAACAGAAUUAGAUAAGGCCAAGCAAAGUACAGAAUCUAAAGAGAAAGAAGAGCUCACUGAAAAUGACUAGGCAGAACGGAACUGAUGCACUCAUGAUUUGAACAUAGAAACCGACCAAUCCACAGGAAUUUAACCCUCAACAUCUUACAUUUAUCAUAGCAACGGUUAAACGCAAAAGAGGUAAUUCACCAACUAACAAGUUGAAUCUAAACUACAGUCAGCUCCCAUUGAGAUGUAAUCAGCAUUUCCUAUGUCGUAAUGAUACUAGCACGUGAGACCGAUCCCGGUGAUGUUUGAGCACAAUUGCAAUAACCUUGCCACUAACUCAUUAUGAGGGUGACCUCUCUCUCAAAGGUCUCCAACAAGAAGAAAGAAUCAAGAUACAUCAUACCUAUUUGAAAGACACAGCGAGAAAGGAGGAAAUCCACACAUGCAUGCACAUGCUUGCAAGGACCGCCACUUCAUCGCUCCCCACCAUCACAUGGUCACCUGUGAUAAUGCACGGUACAUUCAAACAGAAGAUCCGGGCUCAAGGAUACGGCUAAGUUUUGGUCCUGCGUAGCUUCAAUUAUUCAGAAAAGCGUCCAGUUUGGGAUACCACAAGCACUGAAAAAGUGUAGUACCAUCUGUGCAAAAUUUAUUAAGACAAGAGUGUGUACAAAACAGCCUAUGCAAAGGCCUGUCUGUGGCCUGAUUAUAGACUACUUGUUUAUAGAAGGGUUCCCAAAAAAACAGUGCUGAGCAAGUCCAUGCAAAAUGCAGCUGAGCUUUCUUGACACGAAAUUAUCAAAAAAUAAUCACAAUGAAUAUGACAAUACAUAGAGCAGACUCAAACAAGUUUGUAAACAUAGAGAUUAAAGAAGGUGGGAUACAAAAGAAUCAACUGAAAAUAGUUCACAAACUAGAAAAAAAAAGAGAAGGGAAUGUUGACAUCCCAGGUAGAGGAUGGACCAAUAACGACCUAUAUAGAAUCCGACCCAUUUCAAUAUAUGGAGAACUAACCAGACAGAGACUUGUAUGGUUAGCCUAUCACGAGGUCCAUGAAUGAAAAGUAAUAAGAAAAUAGCUAACAAAUGUCUAAUGCCCAUCUCUUUCAAAGAAACACAUGCAGUUUCCUAAUGAUGGACAAGUGGCAAAUUCAGAUAAAUAAUGAGAUUAUAUUUAUAUAAUUUUAGCAGCUAAUAUUACCUAAUUCUUGACAAGUUCAGAACAAAUUUUAUUUUCUGGAGUUAAGAAGGUUUUUGCAUAUAUAAUCUGGCUUAAGACUUCAGAUAAAAGAUUUGAAUAGAAUAUAAUCCAGAGUUCUAGACGAACAUACGCCUUAUUUUUUGUC
RNAcentral lists this long non-coding RNA (1753 nucleotides) under Setaria italica (foxtail millet). Its description in RNAcentral is "long non-coding RNA (SITA_LNC000043)". Lineage: Eukaryota; Viridiplantae; Streptophyta; Magnoliopsida; Poales; Poaceae. The record is from RNAcentral.